UACGUAGGGGGCAAGCGUUGUUCGGAAUUACUGGGCGUAAAGGGCGCGUAGGCGGCACAGCAAGUCGGGAGUGAAAGCCCGGGGCUCAACCCCGGAAUGGCUUUCGAAACUGCUGAGCUAGAGUACAGAAGGGGCAACCGGAAUUCCCAGUGUAGCGGUGAAAUGCGUAGAUAUUGGGAAGGACACCUGAGGCGAAGGCGGGUUGCUGGGCUGAUACUGACGCUGAGGCGCGAAAGCCAGGGGAGCAAACGGG
RNAcentral lists this ribosomal RNA (253 nucleotides) under uncultured bacterium. RNAcentral's name for it is "partial 16S ribosomal RNA". It matches the Rfam family "Bacterial small subunit ribosomal RNA", at positions 524 to 776 of the family's 1533-position model. The record is from RNAcentral.